AGUAAGGUGCUUCAAAAUUUUACCAUCUACUAUACUAAACUCAUAAAAUAUCAGUAGAAGAACUGUAUCUUAGUCUGCCUACAGUCUUUAUGGCCUAAGAAGAUGCACUGAAAUUCACCAGCAGUGAAACAAAAAAGUGAUUGAUUAGAAGAAUUAGAAGAUUAUGUGACCCAAUGUUGGUUAAUGAGAAAGAAGAGGAAUUCAACAGCGAGGCUUCAGAAUGGUGCUAUAAUCAAGAAGAGAUAUAAAGAAGUAAACCACAUGAUGCUUCCAUUACUAGAACACGGGAACAGCAGCAAGACCUUUGCUUCAGUUUUUUCCAAUUGAUGAUGAAAGAUAUCAAUAUUCCAUCAUAACAAAAGGGCAAAGAAAGGGUAUGUUUCCACCUUCAAUCAGUGUAAAUGUUUAUAUCUGAUUUCACCAAUAUAUUAUUUAGUAUUUCUUUAUCCAUAUUCAUAACUCAUAAGUGAAAUUUGUCCGCAAUUUUUUUUCUUGAUCUAUCUUUGUCAGAUUUUAAUGUCAGAGUCCUAAAUACAUUUGAAAGCUCUAUGUCAUUUUCUAUAUUUUGGAAAACAUUAACGACAUCAGAAUUAUCUGUUCCUAGAGGUUUAAUGGAACUUACCAUCUGGAUAUGAAGACUAUUUUAGGUUUCAGUUUUGUUAAACUUCUUUUUCAUACCACAUUUUAAUAAAAUGUGUAACUCUAUUUGUGCAUGGAAACUAAAUAGUCACUUGUGAUCUACAGAUCUUUUCCCGUCAGUUCAUUAUGGCUUCUCUGGAAAGUUGUUACUUAUCCCCUCUGACCCACUGGCUUAUGGAACUGUCUAUUGCUAAUUAAAUUGUUUUAUGAUUCCCAUACAUUCAGCCAAACUUUCCUUAUUACUUAUUUUAAUUAUCCCCACUACCACUUCCAAUCCAAUUUGCUGAAUAUUUAUUCUUAUAAGAGAAAGUGGUAGGGUAUAUUUUGAGCUGAAGAACUA
Molecule: long non-coding RNA, 979 nt
Organism: Piliocolobus tephrosceles (Ugandan red Colobus)
Lineage: Eukaryota; Metazoa; Chordata; Mammalia; Primates; Cercopithecidae
Exons: 3
Source: RefSeq, a predicted model, not a curated record